RNAcentral lists this non-coding RNA (51 nucleotides) under Bradyrhizobium sp. Its description in RNAcentral is "Li+-I sequence". It matches the Rfam family "nhaA-I RNA". From Rfam's summary of the family: Acidobacteria, Alphaproteobacteria, Betaproteobacteria and Gammaproteobacteria, Verrucomicrobia, cand. division NC10. The record is from RNAcentral. Lineage: Bacteria; Pseudomonadati; Pseudomonadota; Alphaproteobacteria; Hyphomicrobiales; Nitrobacteraceae. RNAcentral also lists the same sequence under 1 other name.
GGGUGUUCGCUGUAUCGGCAGCGACAGGAAAGCGAUGGUCGGGCCGCCACG